AAGGGGGAUGCUGAAAACCCUUUAACCAGAGUAAGCA
Molecule: regulatory RNA element, 37 nt
Rfam family: DUF805b RNA
About the family: Bacteroidetes, Chlorobi (1 example), Proteobacteria. Lineage (Flavobacteria)
Source: Rfam